This 1094-nucleotide unclassified non-coding RNA is filed under the name Hevea brasiliensis (rubber tree). Lineage: Eukaryota; Viridiplantae; Streptophyta; Magnoliopsida; Malpighiales; Euphorbiaceae. The record is from RNAcentral.
GAAGACGAUGGGACUGCGCCCUGGAACGACUGCCAACAUGAGAAACGGUCGGGGUGGAGGAGGUGGUCUUAGCCCUGCUGGAUUGCCUAUCAAAGGACCUGGAACUGGAGGUAUGAUGCCCGGAAUGCCGGGAUCAAGAAAGAUGCCUGGGACGCCGAGCCUCGACGGCGACGAUUGGGAGGUUGCACGAUCAAAGUCUAAGGGUAAUGCCAAUAGGAUGCCUAGUAAUGUCAGCAAGCCUCCUCCAUCCAUAAAUUCUAAGCUUCUACCCCAAGGUGGCGGUAGCUUGAUUGCUGGCAAGACGAGUGCAUUGUUGCAGGUUAGCGGAGGCCCGUCUCUCCCCUCGCCACCGUCCAGUCUUGUGUCAGGUCAGGUGCAGGCCGCACAGAGUGUUGGACCCUCGAAAACUCUUGAGAAGCCAAUACUGAAGUCAAAUCCUGCUGAGCUGCGUAAGAAAACUGUUUCACUUCUGGAGGAGUACUUCCACAUUCGUGAUUUGAAUGAAGCGCUGCAGUGCGUGGAGGAGCUGAAUUGCCCUGAAUACCACCCUGAGGUUGUCAAGGAGGCUGUCUAUCUUGCUCUGGACAAGGGGCAGUCGAGUAUUGAUCCUGUCAUGAGGCUUCUGGAGCACUUACUUGGCAAGAAGGUUCUUACCCCGAAGGACUUUGGGACUGGUUGCUUGCUAUAUGCAUCUAUGUUGGAUGAUGUGGGCAUUGAUCUGCCCAAGGCACCUACUCACUUUGGUGAAGUGGUCGGAAGGCUCAUCUGGGUUGGCGGGCUGGGUUUUAUUGUGGUGGUGGAAAUACUGAAGAAGGUUGAAGAAGUCGAUUUCCGCAUGGCGAUAUAUAAUGCCUUGAUGAGGUUCCUCAAGGCGACACCAGUUGGUCAGGCCAUCGUGGAUGGGCAUGUGUCUGAGGUCGAAGCUUGUGAGAGCCUGCUCGGUUGAAGGUCGAGACUAUCGGUGAGAGUUUUUGAUCCUUGUGCUUUUUUGCUUCUCUCAAUUAGCUGAAGACUCUUGUCACAAUCUUGGUCAUCGAAAAUGGACAUGUGGUGAGCAAUUUUAAUGUUAUGAGCUGUAUAUUUCUGCGUGGUCG